GACGAACGCUGGCGGCGUGCUUAACACAUGCAAGUCGAACGGAAAGGCCCUGCUUUUGUGGGGUGCUCGAGUGGCGAACGGGUGAGUAACACGUGAGUAACCUGCCCUUGACUUUGGGAUAACUUCAGGAAACUGGGGCUAAUACGGGAUAGGAGCUCCUGCUGCAUGGUGGGGGUUGGAAAGUUUCGGCGGUUGGGGAUGGACUCGCGGCUUAUCAGCUUGUUGGUGGGGUAGUGGCUUACCAAGGCUUUGACGGGUAGCCGGCCUGAGAGGGUGACCGGCCACAUUGGGACUGAGAUACGGCCCAGACUCCUACGGGAGGCAGCAGUGGGGAAUAUUGCACAAUGGGCGGAAGCCUGAUGCAGCAACGCCGCGUGCGGGAUGACGGCAAUCGGGUUGUAAACCGCUUUCGCCUGUGACGAAGCGUGAGUGGCGGUAAUGGGUAAAGAAGCACCGGCUAACUACGUG
RNAcentral lists this ribosomal RNA (468 nucleotides) under uncultured bacterium. RNAcentral describes it as "partial 16S ribosomal RNA". It matches the Rfam family "Bacterial small subunit ribosomal RNA", at positions 28 to 507 of the family's 1533-position model. The record is from RNAcentral.